GACGUAGGGCGCAAGCGUUGUCCGGAUUUACUGGGCGUAAAGGGCGCGUAGGCGGCGGAGUAAGUUGGGUGUGAAAUCCCGAGGCUCAACCUCGGAAUUGCAUUCAAUACUGCUUCGCUCGAGUACUGGAGAGGAGGCUGGAAUUUACGGUGUAGCAGUGAAAUGCGUAGAUAUCGUAAGGAAGGCCGGUGGCGAAAGCGAGCCUCUGGAUAGUUACUGACGCUGAUGCACGAAGGCCAGGGGAGCAAACGGG
This 253-nucleotide ribosomal RNA is filed under the name uncultured bacterium. RNAcentral describes it as "partial 16S ribosomal RNA". It matches the Rfam family "Bacterial small subunit ribosomal RNA", at positions 524 to 776 of the family's 1533-position model. The record is from RNAcentral.